AUUAAUCAAUAAAAUGUAGAUUUUUGUUGUACAAACUGCAACCAAGAUCCAAAUACAAGUAUAAUUCUAACAAACAGAGAAAGGGAAGUGAACAAACAGAAAUAAAAGAGGAAGAAAAAGGAGGAGUCGAAUUGUAUGUUUUGAAACGAUAAGCAGGGAGCAUCAUGAUGUUAUUAAUGGGUUGUUUUGCUGCUCUUUUCUUUGAUCCUAUUAAUACCCGCAGCUACUCCUACCUUAGCUUUCUUAAUGCCUGUUACUGCUGUGGCUUUCGUUUUGCCUAGGCCGCCAUCAACCUUCUUUGAAUUCUUAGCCUUAGCCUCUCCGCUGCUCUUGCUAGGCUCGGUUGGGAGGGGAUCCGGUCCGUAGUCCCACUGAUCAGCCCAUGAGGUUCCAUAUGAGCUGCGCGGUUCCAUUUUCAAGCUUUAAUUAAAGGACAGGAAAAAGAAAAGAUCGGAUUGUUCAGUGCUGUUCUCUUUCUUGGAGUAUAUAAACGCGCCAAUGUCCAGCCGAAAGCAAAAUAUUUAUGCUUCUUGGUGGAAGUAGCUUGCUGCAUCCGUACAAAAAUGUAUUGAAAACAAUGUUUUUAUUCCCGAUUUGUUUCUGUUUUGCCAAAAAAGAAU
This 620-nucleotide long non-coding RNA is filed under the name Durio zibethinus. Its description in RNAcentral is "long non-coding RNA (DZIB_LNC001188)". The record is from RNAcentral. Lineage: Eukaryota; Viridiplantae; Streptophyta; Magnoliopsida; Malvales; Malvaceae.